Molecule: ribosomal RNA, 621 nt
Filed under: uncultured Ilumatobacter sp.
Lineage: Bacteria; Bacillati; Actinomycetota; Acidimicrobiia; Acidimicrobiales; Ilumatobacteraceae
Description: bacterial SSU rRNA
Rfam family: Bacterial small subunit ribosomal RNA
Source: RNAcentral
UGGUGAGGUAACGGCUCACCAAGGCAUCGACGGGUAGCUGGUCUGAGAGGAUGAUCAGCCACACUGGGACUGAGACACGGCCCAGACUCCUACGGGAGGCAGCAGUGGGGAAUAUUGCACAAUGGGCGCAAGCCUGAUGCAGCAACGCCGCGUGCGGGAAGACGGCCCUAGGGUUGUAAACCGCUUUCAGCAGGGAAGAAGAUGACGGUACCUGCAGAAGAAGGUGCGGCCAACUACGUGCCAGCAGCCGCGGUGACACGUAGGCACCAAGCGUUGUCCGGAUUUAUUGGGCGUAAAGAGCUCGUAGGCGGUUCAGUUAGUCGGGUGUGAAAACUCUGGGCUCAACCCAGAGAGGCCACCCGAUACUGCUGUGACUAGAGUGCGGUAGGGGAGCGGGGAAUUCCUGGUGUAGCGGUGAAAUGCGCAGAUAUCAGGAGGAACACCAGUGGCGAAGGCGCCGCUCUGGGCCGUAACUGACGCUGAGGAGCGAAAGCGUGGGUAGCAAACAGGAUUAGAUACCCUGGUAGUCCACGCCGUAAACGUUGGGCACUAGGUGUGGGUCUCAACCAACGAGAUCCGCGCCGUCGCUAACGCAUUAAGUGCCCCGCCUGGGGAGUACGG